AGCGAACGCUGGCGGCAGGCUUAACACAUGCAAGUCGAACGCUCGUAGCAAUACGGGAGUGGCAGACGGGUGAGUAACGCGUGGGAAUAUGCCUUUUGGUUCGGAAUAACUCAGGGAAACUUGAGCUAAUAGCGGAUAAGCCCGUGAGGGGAAAGAUUUAUCGCCAAAGGAUUAGCCCGCGUCCGAUUAGCUAGUUGGUGAGGUAAUGGCUCACCAAGGCGACGAUCGGUAGCUGGUCUGGGAGGGUGAUCAGCCACAUUGGGACUGAGACACGGCCCAAACUCCUACGGGAGGCAGCAGUGGGGAAUAUUGGACAAUGGGCGCAAGCCUGAUCCAGCCAUGCCGCGUGAGUGAUGAAGGCCUUAGGGUUGUAAAGCUCUUUUGUCCGGGAAGAUAAUGACGGUACCGGAAGAAUAAGCCCCGGCUAACUUCGUGCCAGCCGCCGCUGUAA
RNAcentral lists this ribosomal RNA (451 nucleotides) under uncultured bacterium. RNAcentral describes it as "partial 16S ribosomal RNA". It matches the Rfam family "Bacterial small subunit ribosomal RNA", at positions 29 to 523 of the family's 1533-position model. The record is from RNAcentral.